CGGUCCAGACUCCUACGGGAGGCAGCAGUGGGGAAUAUUGGACAAUGGGCGCAAGCCUGAUCCAGCCAUACCGCGUGGGUGAAGAAGGCCUUCGGGUUGUAAAGCCCUUUUGUUGGGAAAGAAAAGCAGCUGGUUAAUACCCGGUUGUUCUGACGGUACCCAAAGAAUAAGCACCGGCUAACUUCGUGCCAGCAGCCGCGGUAA
Molecule: ribosomal RNA, 204 nt
Filed under: uncultured Stenotrophomonas sp.
Lineage: Bacteria; Pseudomonadati; Pseudomonadota; Gammaproteobacteria; Lysobacterales; Lysobacteraceae
Description: partial 16S ribosomal RNA
Rfam family: Bacterial small subunit ribosomal RNA
Source: RNAcentral